GAGUUUGAUCCUGGCUCAGGACGAACGCUGGCGGCGUGCCUAAUACAUGCAAGUCGAGCGAACCAAUUGAAAGCCUAGCUUCCAUGAGGUUAGCGGCGGACGGGUGAGUAACACGUGGGUAACCUGCCCUAUAGACUGGGAUAACUCGCGGAAACGCGUGCUAAUACCGGAUAACACAUCAAAGUGCAUGUUUUGAUGUUGAAAGAUGGUUCUGCUAUCACUAUAGGAUGGGCCCGCGGCGCAUUAGCUUGUUGGUGGGGUAACGGCCUACCAAGGCGACGAUGCGUAGCCGACCUGAGAGGGUGAUCGGCCACACUGGGACUGAGACACGGCCCAGACUCCUACGGGAGGCAGCAGUAGGGAAUCUUCCACAAUGGGCGAAAGCCUGAUGGAGCAACGCCGCGUGAGCGAAGAAGGUCUUCGGAUCGUAAAGCUCUGUUGUAAGGGAAGAACAAGUGCAGUAGUAACUGGCUGCACCUUGACGGUACCUUACUAGAAAGCCACGGCUAACUACGUGCCAGCAGCCGCGGUAAUACGUAGGUGGCAAGCGUUGUCCGGAAUUAUUGGGCGUAAAGCGCGCGCAGGCGGUCUCUUAAGUCUGAUGUGAAAGCCCCCGGCUUAACCGGGGAGGGUCAUUGGAAACUGGGAGACUUGAGUGCAGGAGAGGGAAGCGGAAUUCCAUGUGUAGCGGUGAAAUGCGUAGAGAUAUGGAGGAACACCAGUGGCGAAGGCGGCUUCCUGGCCUGUAACUGACGCUGAGGCGCGAAAGCGUGGGGAGCAAACAGGAUUACAUACCCUGUUAGUCCACGCCGUAAACGAUGAGUGCUAAGUGUUAAAGGGUUUUCACCCCCUAUUGCUGCAGCUUACGCAUUA
This 873-nucleotide ribosomal RNA is filed under the name uncultured bacterium. RNAcentral's name for it is "bacterial SSU rRNA". It matches the Rfam family "Bacterial small subunit ribosomal RNA", at positions 9 to 862 of the family's 1533-position model. The record is from RNAcentral.